This 83-nucleotide transfer RNA is filed under the name Clostridiales bacterium. RNAcentral's name for it is "tRNA-Leu". It matches the Rfam family "tRNA". From Rfam's summary of the family: Transfer RNA (tRNA) molecules are approximately 80 nucleotides in length. Their secondary structure includes four short double-helical elements and three loops (D, anti-codon, and T loops). Further hydrogen bonds mediate the characteristic L-shaped molecular structure. tRNAs have two regions of fundamental functional importance: the anti-codon, which is responsible for specific mRNA codon recognition, and the 3' end, to which the tRNAs corresponding amino acid is attached (by aminoacyl-tRNA synthetases). tRNAs cope with the degeneracy of the genetic code in two manners: having more than one tRNA (with a specific anti-codon) for a particular amino acid; and 'wobble' base-pairing, i.e. permitting non-standard base-pairing at the 3rd anti-codon position. The record is from RNAcentral. RNAcentral also lists the same sequence under 1 other name. Lineage: Bacteria; Bacillati; Bacillota; Clostridia; Eubacteriales.
GCGGCUGUGGCGGAACUGGCAGACGCGCACGGUUGAGGGCCGUGUGAGAGAUCGUGGGGGUUCAAGUCCCUUCAGCCGCACCA